GGGGCUGUGGCUCAAGCAGUAGCGCACUCGCCUGGCAUGCGUGCCGCCAGGGUUCAAUCCCUCAGCACCA
Molecule: transfer RNA, 70 nt
Filed under: Ictidomys tridecemlineatus (thirteen-lined ground squirrel)
Lineage: Eukaryota; Metazoa; Chordata; Mammalia; Rodentia; Sciuridae
Description: Spermophilus tridecemlineatus (thirteen-lined ground squirrel) tRNA
Rfam family: tRNA
About the family: Transfer RNA (tRNA) molecules are approximately 80 nucleotides in length. Their secondary structure includes four short double-helical elements and three loops (D, anti-codon, and T loops).
Source: Rfam by way of RNAcentral